GGAUGUGAGGACGAUCUGGCUGUGACAUCUGUCACCCCAUUGAUCGCCAGGUUGAUUCGGCUGAUCUGGCUGGCUAGGCAGGUGUCCCCUUCCUCCCUCAGCGCUCCAUGUGCGUCCCUCCUGAAGCUGGGCGCUCAGGUGAAGAGGGCGACCUUCUCCGAAUAGAGGAGAACCAGUGUUUGGUCAAGGGUGUACUAGUAGCUGCACCCCCCUGCUAGAACCCCCAAACAAGCUCUCAAGAUAGCUAGAGGGUUCUACUUUUAUUUUACAAACUUUGUGUAAGUGCCAAGUGCCUUAAUGCACUUUUCU
This 309-nucleotide small nuclear RNA is filed under the name Jaculus jaculus (lesser Egyptian jerboa). RNAcentral's name for it is "7SK RNA (ENSJJAG00000008015.1)". It matches the Rfam family "7SK RNA". From Rfam's summary of the family: 7SK was discovered as an abundant small nuclear RNA in the mid-70s but a possible function has only recently been suggested. Two independent studies have found that 7SK RNA binds the CDK9/cyclin T complex (known as elongation factor P-TEFb). Lineage: Eukaryota; Metazoa; Chordata; Mammalia; Rodentia; Dipodidae. The record is from Rfam by way of RNAcentral.